UUCGCCCUUUUCCGGUUGAUCCUGCCGGACCUGACUGCUAUCGGAUUGAUACUAAGCCAUGCGAGUCAUUGUAGCAAUAUAAGGCAUACGGCUCAGUAACGCGUAGUCAACCUACCUUAUGGACGGGGAUAACCUCGGGAAACUGAGAAUAAUACCCGAUAGAACAUAAUUCCUGGAAUGGUUUAUGUUUCAAAUAAUUUAUUGCCGUAGGAUGGGACUGCGGCCUAUCAGUUUGUUGGUGAGGUAAUGGCCCACCAAGACUAUUACAGGUACGGGCUCUGAGAGGAGUAGCCCGGAGAUGGGUACUGAGACACGGACCCAGGCCCUAUGGGGCGCAGCAGGCGAGAAAACUUUGCAAUGUGCGAAAGCACGACAAGGUUAAUCCGAGUGGUUUCUGCUAAAGGAACCUUUUGACAGUCAUAGAACCACUGUUGAAUAAGGGGUGGGCAAGUUCUGGUGUCAGCCGCCGCGGUAAAACCAGCACCUCAAGUGGUCAGGAUGAUUAUUGGGCCUAAAGCAUCCGUAGCCUGCUUUGUAAGUUUUCGGUUAAAUCCAUACGCUUAACGUAUGGGCUGCCGGGAAUACUGCAAAGCUAGGGAGUGGGAGAGGUAGACGGUACUCGGUAGGAAGGGGUAAAAUCCUUUGAUCUAUUGAUGACCACCUGUGGCGAAGGCGGUCUACCAGAACACGUCCGACGGUGAGGGAUGAAAGCUGGGGGAGCAAACCGGAUUAGAUACCCGGGUAGUCCCAGCUGUAAACUAUGCAAACUCG
Molecule: ribosomal RNA, 771 nt
Filed under: uncultured archaeon
Lineage: Archaea
Description: bacterial SSU rRNA
Rfam family: Archaeal small subunit ribosomal RNA
Source: RNAcentral